Molecule: ribosomal RNA, 988 nt
Filed under: Mucor circinelloides
Lineage: Eukaryota; Fungi; Mucoromycota; Mucoromycetes; Mucorales; Mucoraceae
Description: partial large subunit ribosomal RNA
Rfam family: Eukaryotic large subunit ribosomal RNA
Source: RNAcentral
GCAUAUCAAUAAGCGGAGGAAAAGAAAAUAACAAUGAUUUCCCUAGUAACGGCGAGUGAAGAGGAAAGAGCUCAAAGUUGGAAACUGUUUGGCUUAGCUAAACCGUAUUGUAAACUGUAGAAACAUUUUCCUGGCACGCCGGAUUAAUAAGUCCUUUGGAACAAGGCAUCAUGGAGGGUGAGAAUCCCGUCUUUGAUCCGAGUAGUUGUCUUUUGUGAUAUGUUUUCAAAGAGUCAGGUUGUUUGGGAAUGCAGCCUAAAUUGGGUGGUAAAUCUCACCUAAAGCUAAAUAUUUGCGAGAGACCGAUAGCGAACAAGUACCGUGAGGGAAAGAUGAAAAGAACUUUGAAAAGAGAGUUAAACAGUAUGUGAAAUUGUUAAAAGGGAACCGUUUGGAGCCAGACUGGUUUGACUGUAAUCAACCUAGAAUUCGUUCUGGGUGCACUUGCAGUCUAUACCUGCCAACAACAGUUUGAUUUGGAGGAAAAAAUUAGCAGGAAUGUAGCCUCUCGAGGUGUUAUAGCCUGCUAUCAUACUCUGGAUUGGACUGAGGAACGCAGCGAAUGCCUUUAGGCGAGAUUGCUGGGUGCUUUCGCUAAUAAAUGUUAGAAUUUCUGCUUCGGGUGGUGCUAAUGUUUAAAGGAGGAACACAUCUAGUAUAUUUUUUAUUCGCUUAGGUUGUUGGCUUAAUGACUCUAAAUGACCCGUCUUGAAACACGGACCAAGGAGUCCACCAUAAGUGCAAGUAUUUGAGUGACAAACUCAUAUGCGUAAGGAAACUGAUUGAUACGAAAUCUUUUGAUGGCAGUAUCACCCGGCGUUGACGUUUUAUACUGAACUGACCGAGGUAAAGCACUUAUGAUGGGACCCGAAAGAUGGUGAACUAUGCCUGAAUAGGGUGAAGCCAGAGGAAACUCUGGUGGAGGCUCGUAGCGAUUCUGACGUGCAAAUCGAUCGUCAAAUUUGGGUAUAGGGGCGAAAGACUAAUC